GAUGAACGCUGGCAGCGUGCCUAAUACAUGCAAGUCGAGCGAACGGACGAGAAGCUUGCUUUUCUGAUGUUAGCGGCGGACGGGUGAGUAACACGUGGAUAACCUACCUAUAAGACUGGGAUAACUUCGGGAAACCGGAGCUAAUACCGGAUAAUAUUUUGAACCGCAUGGUUCAAAAGUGAAAGACGGUCUUGCUGUCACUUAUAGAUGGAUCCGCGCUGCAUUAGCUAGUUGGUAAGGUAACGGCUUACCAAGGCAACGAUGCAUAGCCGACCUGAGAGGGUGAUCGGCCACACUGGAACUGAGACACGGUCCAGACUCCUACGGGAGGCAGCAGUAGGGAAUCUUCCGCAAAGGGCGAAAGCCUGACGGAGCAACGCCGCGUGAGUGAUGAAGGUCUUCGGAUCGUAAAACUCUGUUAUUAGGGAAGAACAUAUGUGUAAGUAACUGUGCACAUCCUGACGGUACCUAAUCAGAAAGCCACGGCUAACUACGUG
Molecule: ribosomal RNA, 497 nt
Filed under: uncultured bacterium
Lineage: Bacteria
Description: partial 16S ribosomal RNA
Rfam family: Bacterial small subunit ribosomal RNA
Source: RNAcentral